GAAGAGCAGGUUCGCAUUGUCUGGGAUAAUCUCAAGGCGGCCCAGUCCCAUCAGAAGAGAAACUAUGACCGGAAACACUGGGGUUCAACUUAUCAACCCGGUGAACAAGCUUAUCUGCGUGUCACUCCUUUGAGAGGCACUCAUCGGUUCGGAGUCAAGGGCAAGCUAGCUCCGCGCUACAUUGGUCCUUUCCGCAUUCUGGCCCGUCGUGGACUGGUGUCUUAUCAACUGGAAUUGCCACCUCAGUUCUCCCAUGUUCAUGAUGUCUUCCACGUGUCGCAACUUCGUCGAUGCUUCAAGGAUCCGGAACGUGAAGUGGAUCCAGAAUUGAUUGAAGUUCAAGAUGAUCUCACAUACAAAGAGCAUCCGAUCCGCAUUCUUGAUGAAGCUGAA
This 393-nucleotide ribosomal RNA is filed under the name Triticum aestivum (bread wheat). RNAcentral describes it as "partial small subunit ribosomal RNA". Lineage: Eukaryota; Viridiplantae; Streptophyta; Magnoliopsida; Poales; Poaceae. The record is from RNAcentral.